RNAcentral lists this ribosomal RNA (175 nucleotides) under uncultured bacterium. RNAcentral's name for it is "partial 16S ribosomal RNA". It matches the Rfam family "Bacterial small subunit ribosomal RNA", at positions 1318 to 1500 of the family's 1533-position model. The record is from RNAcentral.
CCAUGGAGCUGGAUUCGCUAGUAAUCGCGCAUCAGCCACGGCGCGGUGAAUACGUUCCCGGGCCUUGUACACACCGCCCGUCAAGCCAUGGAAGCCGGGAGUGCCUGAAGUACGCGACCGCAAGGAGCGUCCUAAGGUAAAACCGGUGACUGGGGCUAAGUCGUAACAAGGUAGC